GGGCCAGUCAUCCAAUCCGGCUAAGAUGCCGCCUUCGCAAGGCGGAAAUUCGGGUUCAAAUCCCGACUGGUCCA
Molecule: transfer RNA, 74 nt
Filed under: Candidatus Woesearchaeota archaeon
Lineage: Archaea; Nanobdellati; Candidatus Woesearchaeota
Description: tRNA-Ala
Rfam family: tRNA
About the family: Transfer RNA (tRNA) molecules are approximately 80 nucleotides in length. Their secondary structure includes four short double-helical elements and three loops (D, anti-codon, and T loops). Further hydrogen bonds mediate the characteristic L-shaped molecular structure. tRNAs have two regions of fundamental functional importance: the anti-codon, which is responsible for specific mRNA codon recognition, and the 3' end, to which the tRNAs corresponding amino acid is attached (by aminoacyl-tRNA synthetases). tRNAs cope with the degeneracy of the genetic code in two manners: having more than one tRNA (with a specific anti-codon) for a particular amino acid; and 'wobble' base-pairing, i.e. permitting non-standard base-pairing at the 3rd anti-codon position.
Source: RNAcentral